This 253-nucleotide ribosomal RNA is filed under the name uncultured bacterium. RNAcentral's name for it is "partial 16S ribosomal RNA". It matches the Rfam family "Bacterial small subunit ribosomal RNA", at positions 524 to 776 of the family's 1533-position model. The record is from RNAcentral.
UACAGAGGGGGCAAGUGUUGUUCGGAAUUACUGGGCGUAAAGGGCGCGUAGGCGGCCUGUUAAGUCGAACGUGAAAUCCCCGGGCUCAACCCGGGAACUGCGUCCGAUACUGGCAGGCUUGAAUUCGGGAGAGGGAUGUGGAAUUCCAGGUGUAGCGGUGAAAUGCGUAGAUAUCUGGAGGAACACCGGUGGCGAAGGCGGCAUCCUGGACCGAUAUUGACGCUGAUGCGCGAAAGCCAGGGGAGCAAACGGG